GAUGAAGAACGUAGCGAAAUGCGAUACUUGGGGUGAAUUGCAGAAUCCCGUGAACCAUCGAGUCUUUGAACGCAAGUUGCGCCUCAAGCCAUUAGGUUGAGGGCACGUCUGCCUGGGCGUCACAUAUCGUUGCCUGAUGCCAGUUUCCUCGUGAUGGGUGACUGUGCAGGGCGAAUGAUGGCUUCCCGUGAGCAUUGUUGCCUCAUGGUUGGUUGAAAAUUGAGUCCUUGGUAGGGAGCGCCGUGAUAGAUGGUGGUUGAGUGACGAACGAGACCCAAUCAUGUGAGACCCCUACCGAAUUUGGCCUUCAUGACCCACAUGCGUCUUUGGAACGCUCAUGACGAGACCUCAGGUCAGGCGGGGCUACCCGCUGAGUUUAAGCAUAUCAAUAAGCGGAGGA
Molecule: unclassified non-coding RNA, 400 nt
Filed under: soil metagenome
Description: partial contains 5.8S ribosomal RNA, internal transcribed spacer 2, and large subunit ribosomal RNA
Rfam family: 5.8S ribosomal RNA (bases 1-122)
Source: RNAcentral